AGUAAUUCCAUGAAUUAAAGGCAGUUGUCUGAAUGACCAAAGGUACAUAGCAUGAAAAAUCUCAUUCAGUAGAGGCAGAGACUGGUGGAUCAAUAUGUUUCCUAUGUAGAUUUGUUAAUUCGUGCUUUAAAUUACUAGAUAUAGAAUACUAUGAUGUGUUGGUAUGCAGAGCAAGCACAGAAUUAAGAGCAUAAUUGAAGCACUGUUGUCUUACACUAGAGAAGGAGUUGCUGCUCUCUGCCUUGGACACAGCAGCCUGAUACAGAGCCAAUUUUUCUUUCAAGGAGACAGUCUCCUCGAAGUCCAUCAGUGUGUUCCCAGCCUUGGCAGUACUCUCUUCUGAUAAUCCUCUUGCACGUUUGCGACGACCCACUGCAAAUACAAAGAGAUCGUGAUUCCUGAGUAGGAAACAGAUUAAGUAUGAAUUCUCUUAUCUGCAGCUACAUAAGUCCAGGGUAACUCCAUUGAAAUUGGUGGACAUGAUGAGACAGAAGUAUUAAUGACGUAAUCCUGAUGGUAUGAGUGUUCUUCCUGAGUUGAUCCUGUUUGUUUAAAAACUGCAUUCAACUACAGCAUUGCAAGUCUCCAAUAAUGGAUGCUUUUGCAACUGUAUGUGUGCGGUCAGGAUGGGAGCAAGCAUGCAGUUGCUACAAAGACUUGUGUGGAGCACCCUGUUUAACAUUGAUAAUAUUUGUGGCCAAUCAAGUCUGGACUGGAGAGGAGGUGGUCUUACUGAGAAGAAAUGGAAGAGCCAUUGUUUUACUGGUUAUUCUGUCUGUGAAUACCAGUGCUGCUACUGUUAACUGAAGAAAUAGAGUUGGAAACAAAUGCUAUUUAUUUUGGCUUUCAUGAGAGGAUGCGUGGGCUUAGGUUUUUUGUUUGUUUAUUAUAAAUUCACUGACAGAUCUAGAAUAUAUGCUUUUCUUUAAAAACUCUCUUGCUGAAACUUGCUUAGAUUCAGAUAAAUAUUGGAUUAGAUCUUCUAAAGUUCUUAAAAUAUUUGUGUGCAUCUGCCUUCAAGUAAAACAAAAUAACAGUUAUGACAGUGACAUUUUCUAAUGUGAUCAUCUUGUAUCUUGUACUGUUGCAGACAUUUACAUUCUUUUGCUAUUUCAUGGUUUUUGUAAUUAUUUUAAAUUGCUGUAAAUUAUUGAAAGUACUCUGCAGUGUGAAUCAGAAAAAAAAAAGAACAAUAAACCAAAAACAAAAGUACUAGCA
This 1218-nucleotide long non-coding RNA is filed under the name Phasianus colchicus (ring-necked pheasant). Its description in RNAcentral is "lncRNA (ENSPCLG00000013001.1)". Lineage: Eukaryota; Metazoa; Chordata; Aves; Galliformes; Phasianidae. The record is from RNAcentral.